Long non-coding RNA from Sorghum bicolor (sorghum), 831 nucleotides. RefSeq lists it as uncharacterized. Lineage: Eukaryota; Viridiplantae; Streptophyta; Magnoliopsida; Poales; Poaceae. The record is from RefSeq and is a predicted model, not a curated record. The transcript has 2 exons.
CUCUCGCAGUCGAAACCCUAGGUCCUCACUCUCUCUUUUCUCCCUCACGCCGUCUCGCAGUCCUCCACAACUCCUGCUCCCUUCCUCUGGCGGCGCAGACAGGUACGGGAUGAGGCCCCAGCGGCGCGCAUCUGCGAUAGCAAGGGCGCCCCCUCCGGUGGCAUGACCUUGCACUCAACUGCGGCUUCCCAACGAGCUCGUAGAGGCACGGCGCAGGCACCGGCGACCCUCGACCGCACGUCGGCUUGGCUCUCCAGUCUUCCCCUCAGUGGUUGCAGGCUCGGCCGGUCGGCGGCAGGCCGCACAUAGCAGCAGCCAGCGCCGCACCCAGGGUGCAGGGGCAGAGCAGAUCCACGCUGCGCCCAGAUGCAGAUGCAGAGCACAUCGACCUCGCUGUUCAUUGACCCACGCGCGGCCGCCGUCACGGCUUGCGGUAGCAGGAAGGUCGCACAAGGCGGAUGGGCUCCAGUGGCCGUAUACGUGCAGCCCGCACAACAAUCUGGGCUCCUUUGUGGCAACGAACUAAGUGGCAGCAGGUCAGAAGAGAGAGUGGUUAAUAAUGUGGUCUGGAGAAUGUCUCAGUGGAGUUAAUGUUUAGGGGUAGCUACAACUCUUUUAGUUAGCUUGAUGAAUAUUCAAGAUGUUGAAAGGGCUAUGUUCUUUGUAAUUUUGGAUUUGUGACUUAGAUGUAGCGUGAUGUAUAUUGCUACCUGGAUGUAUGAGUUUGACUAUAUUUUUUUGCAACCUGGGAUUUUGUCAAGAUUGUGUAAUUGUUGAGUGAGUGGUUAUAUCAAAAUCAAUAAGAUGGUUUAAGGCGCACGGUUUUUGACA